This 773-nucleotide ribosomal RNA is filed under the name uncultured Neocallimastigales. Its description in RNAcentral is "partial large subunit ribosomal RNA". It matches the Rfam family "Eukaryotic large subunit ribosomal RNA", at positions 24 to 635 of the family's 3401-position model. The record is from RNAcentral. Lineage: Eukaryota; Fungi; Neocallimastigomycota; Neocallimastigomycetes; Neocallimastigales.
GUAGUCUCGCACAGAUGCAUAUCAAUAAGCGGAGGAAAAGAAACUAACAAGGAUUCCCUCAGUAACGGCGAGUGAAGCGGGAAGAGCUCAAAUUUGAAAUCUUGAAAGGUCACCUUUCACGGAUUGUAGUUUAAAGAAGUGUUUUCUGUUACGAUCGUAAUAUAAGUUCUUUGGAAUAGGACAUCACAGAGGGUGAGAAUCCCGUCUAUGACUUGCGAUUUGUAGCUUUGUGAUACACUUUCAAAGAGUCAGGGUUGUUUGGGAAUGCAGCCCAAAACGGGAGGUAAAUUUCUUCUAAGGCUAAAUAUUGGCGAGAGACCGAUAGCGAACAAGUACCGUGAGGGAAAGAUGAAAAGAACUUUGAAAAGAGAGUUAAAUAGUACGUGAAAUUGUCAAAAGGGAAGCGUUUAACACCAGUGUUGUUUUCUGAAAAUCAACCUCUGUUAGCUUUAUGCAUGUUUGUUUAGACCUAAUCAGCUAUCUUGCAUGUUCUAUUGUUUGCAGUGGUGCACUUUUCAGUUUACAGGUCAACAUCAGUUUUUUUUACCGUAAAAAAGUUAAAGAAAGGUAGCUCAUGGCUCCGGUCGUGAGUGUUAUAGUCUUUUUCCUAUGCGGUAGGAGAGACUGAGGUCUGCAGUGUAGGCUAUUUGGCUAGAUACUCAGGCGCUAUGUGAUACCAUUUCAUAAACAACUUGUUGAUUAUGUUUUGUCUAUUGCAUACUCGCCUGUACUAUCAUACCUACGCUUAGGAUGUUGAAGAUGUAGCACAUCAU